This 510-nucleotide ribosomal RNA is filed under the name uncultured bacterium. Its description in RNAcentral is "partial 16S ribosomal RNA". It matches the Rfam family "Bacterial small subunit ribosomal RNA", at positions 28 to 507 of the family's 1533-position model. The record is from RNAcentral.
GACGAACGCUGGCGGCGUGCUUAACACAUGCAAGUCGAACGAAGAGCGAUGGAAGCUUGCUUCUAUCAAUCUUAGUGGCGAACGGGUGAGUAACGCGUAAUCAACCUGCCCUUCAGAGGGGGACAACAGUUGGACACGACUGCUAAUACCGCAUACGAUCUAACCUCGGCAUUGAGGAAAGAUGAAAGGUGGCCCCUAUGUAUAAGCUAUCACUGAAGGAGGGGAUUGCGUCUGAUUAGCUAGUUGGAGGGGGAACGGCCCACCAAGGCGAUGAUCAGUAGCCGGUCUGAGAGGAUGAACGGCCACAUUGGGACUGGGACACGGCCCAGACUCCUACGGGAGGCAGCAGUGGGGAAUCUUCCGCAAUGGACGAAAGUCUGACGGAGCAACGCCGCGUGAGUGAUGACGGCCUUCGGGUUGGAAAGCUCUGUUAAUCGGGACGAAAGGCCUUCUUGCGAAUAGUGAGAAGGAUUGACGGUACCGGAAUAGAAAGCCACGGCUAACUACGUG